ACUACGGGGGGCAGCAGUGGGGAAUAUUGGGCAAUGGGCGCAAGCCUGACCCAGCAACGCCGCGUGAAGGAAGAAGGCUUUCGGGUUGUAAACUUCUUUUGUCAGGGAAGAGUAGAAGACGGAACAUGACGAAAAAGCUACGGCUAACUACGUGCCAGCAGCCGCGGUAAUACGUGGGUGGCAAGCGUUGUACGGAUUUACUGGGUGUAAAGGGCGUGGAGCCGGGUUGUCAAGUCAGAUGUGAAAUCCUGCGGCUUAACCGCAGAACUGCAUUUGAAACUGUUGAUCUUGAGUACUGGAGAGGCAGGCGGAAUUCCUAGUGUAGCGGUGAAAUGCGUAUAUAUUAGGAGGAACACCAGUGGCGAAGGCGGUCUGCUGGACAGCAACUGACGGUGAGGCGCGAAAGCGUGGGGAGCAAACAGGAUUAGAUACCCGAGUAGUC
RNAcentral lists this ribosomal RNA (442 nucleotides) under uncultured bacterium. RNAcentral's name for it is "partial 16S ribosomal RNA". It matches the Rfam family "Bacterial small subunit ribosomal RNA", at positions 338 to 795 of the family's 1533-position model. The record is from RNAcentral.